RNAcentral lists this ribosomal RNA (253 nucleotides) under uncultured bacterium. RNAcentral's name for it is "partial 16S ribosomal RNA". It matches the Rfam family "Bacterial small subunit ribosomal RNA", at positions 524 to 776 of the family's 1533-position model. The record is from RNAcentral.
UACAGAGGGGGCAAGCGUUGUUCGGAAUUACUGGGCGUAAAGGGCGCGUAGGCGGCCUUCUAAGUCGAACGUGAAAUCCCCGGGCUCAACCCGGGAACUGCGUCCGAUACUGGAAGGCUUGAAUCCGGGAGAGGGAUGUGGAAUUCCAGGUGUAGCGGUGAAAUGCGUAGAUAUCUGGAGGAACACCGGUGGCGAAGACGGUUCUCUGGGCCUGUUCUGACGCUGAGGAGCGAAAGCGUGGGGAGCGAACAGG